GAUGAACGCUAGCGGCAGGCCUAACACAUGCAAGUCGAGGGGCAGCACAGAAACAGCAAUGUUUUGGUGGCGACCGGCGGACGGGUGCGUAACGCGUAUGCAACCUACCUUUAACAGGGGGAUAACGGAGAGAAAUUUCCACUAAUACCCCAUAACAUCGAUCAAGGCAUCUUGAUUGGUUGAAAACUCCGGUGGUUAAAGAUGGGCAUGCGUUGUAUUAGGUAGUUGGUGAGGUAAUGGCUCACCAAGCCUACGAUACAUAGGGGGACUGAAAGGUUAGCCCCCCACACUGGUAAUGAAGCACGGACCAGACUCCUACCGGAGGCAGCAGUGAGGAAUAUUGGUCAAUGGGGGCAACCCUGAACCAGCCAUGCCGCGUGCAGGAAGACGGCUCUAUGGGUUGUAAGCUGCUUUUAUACGAGGGUAAUUGCGCGCACGUGUGCGUGUUUGAAAGUAUCGUAUGAAUAAGGAUCGGCUAACUCCGUGCCAGCCGCCGCAGUAA
This 502-nucleotide ribosomal RNA is filed under the name uncultured bacterium. RNAcentral's name for it is "partial 16S ribosomal RNA". It matches the Rfam family "Bacterial small subunit ribosomal RNA", at positions 28 to 523 of the family's 1533-position model. The record is from RNAcentral.